UACGGGGGGGGCAAGCGUUGUUCGGAAUUACUGGGCGUAAAGGGCUCGUAGGCGGCCAUCUAAGUCGGACGUGAAAUCCCUCGGCUUAACCGGGGAACUGCGUCCGAUACUGGAGGGCUCGAGUGUGGGAGAGGGAUGCGGAAUUCCAGGUGUAGCAGUGAAAUGCGUAGAUAUCUGGAGGAACACCGGUGGCGAAGGCGGCAUCCUGGACCAUUACUGACGCUGAGGAGCGAAAGCCAGGGGAGCAAACGGG
Molecule: ribosomal RNA, 253 nt
Filed under: uncultured bacterium
Lineage: Bacteria
Description: partial 16S ribosomal RNA
Rfam family: Bacterial small subunit ribosomal RNA
Source: RNAcentral